ACCUCCGUACGGGAGGCAGCAGGUGGGGAAUAUUGCACAAUGGGCGCAAGCCUGAUGCAGCCAUGCCGCGUGUAUGAAGAAGGCCUUCGGGUUGUAAAGUACUUUCAGCAGUGAGGAAGGUGGGUAUGUUAAUAGCAUAUUAUUUGACGUUAGCUGCAGAAGAAGCACCGGCUAAACUCCGUGCCAGCAGCCGCGGUAAUACGGAGGGUGCGAGCGUUAAUCGGAAUUACUGGGCGUAAAGCGCAUGCAGGUGGUUUGUUAAGUCAGAUGUGAAAGCCCGGGGCUCAACCUCGGAAUUGCAUUUGAAACUGGC
Molecule: ribosomal RNA, 313 nt
Filed under: uncultured bacterium
Lineage: Bacteria
Description: bacterial SSU rRNA
Rfam family: Bacterial small subunit ribosomal RNA
Source: RNAcentral